Molecule: ribosomal RNA, 399 nt
Filed under: uncultured bacterium
Lineage: Bacteria
Description: bacterial SSU rRNA
Rfam family: Bacterial small subunit ribosomal RNA
Source: RNAcentral
GAUGAACGCUGGCGGCGUGCUUAACACAUGCAAGUCGAACGGAGAGCUAUUGACGGAGUUUUCGGACAACAGAUAUAGUUUCUUAGUGGCGGACGGGUGAGUAACGCGUGAGGAACCUGCCUUGGAGAGGGGAAUAACACAGAGAAAUUUGUGCUAAUACCGCAUAAUGCAGUUGGGUCGCAUGGCUCUGACUGCCAAAGAUUUUAUCGCUCUGAGAUGGCCUCGCGUCUGAUUAGGUAGUUGGCGGGGUAACGGCCCACCAAGCCGACGAUCAGUAGCCGGACUGAGAGGUUGACCGGCCACAUUGGGACUGAGACACGGCCCAGACUCCUACGGGAGGCAGCAGUGGGGAAUAUUGGGCAAUGGGCGCAAGCCUGACCCAGCAACGCCGCGUGAAGG